RNAcentral lists this ribosomal RNA (301 nucleotides) under uncultured bacterium. Its description in RNAcentral is "partial 16S ribosomal RNA". It matches the Rfam family "Bacterial small subunit ribosomal RNA", at positions 509 to 807 of the family's 1533-position model. The record is from RNAcentral.
CAGUAGCCGCGGUAAUACGUAGGGUGCGAGCGUUAAUUGGAAUUACUGGGCGUAAAGCGUGCGCAGGCGGUUGUGUAAGACAGGUGUGAAAUCCCCGGGCUUAACCUGGGAACUGCGCUUGUGACUGCACAGCUAGAGUAUGGCAGAGGGGGGUGGAAUUCCACGUGUAGCAGUGAAAUGCGUAGAGAUGUGGAGGAACACCGAUGGCGAAGGCAGCCCCCUGGGCCAAUACUGACGCCCAUGCACGAAAGCGUGGGGAGCAAACAGGAUUAGAUACCCCCGUAGUCCCUGUCUCUUAUAC